Non-coding RNA from Danio rerio (zebrafish), 537 nucleotides. The record is from RefSeq and is a predicted model, not a curated record. NCBI's taxonomy places the organism in Eukaryota, Metazoa, Chordata, Actinopteri, Cypriniformes, Danionidae.
GCUGUGGAGAUCUGCUCAAGCGCUCGGCCUACAAAUACUUCGCAGGAACGAUUCAAUACGCUCCACCUGAGUGGUUCUGCAGACAGCGCUACCAUGCGGGUCCAGCUACGGUGUGGUCAGUAGGAGUGACCCUCUUCAACAUCCUGUGCAACCGUUUCCCCUUCGGAGGCUCACUGAGGGUCACGUCCAGGAGCAAACUGACCUUCCCCAUAACUCUGUCAACAGAGGCAGUAGACGCAGAUGGAGAAGAGGAGAACACACACCGAACACACACUGAACAGCAGAUUCCAGCAGAAAACACACUCUGAUGCAGGUGAUGUGGAGGUGCUGUUAAACCGUUCAGCACAAGGAGACUCUUGCUCUAAAAUGAACAACAGGCCAUUAUUAAACUUUUCACAGCAACUGCAACAUCACUGCACCAGGAGCGUCAGUAAAGACCAAGAAGAAGAAGAAGAAACACAGCACUGAGCCUGAAAGCUGAUGUACUGUAGGCUGCAAGCAGAAUCCUUUAUGACCCAGAGAUAAUUUAAUAUAAAA